This 777-nucleotide ribosomal RNA is filed under the name uncultured bacterium. RNAcentral's name for it is "bacterial SSU rRNA". It matches the Rfam family "Bacterial small subunit ribosomal RNA", at positions 8 to 830 of the family's 1533-position model. The record is from RNAcentral.
AGAGUUUGAUCCUGGCUCAGAACGUACGCUGGCGGCACGCCUAACACAUGCAAGUCGAACGAAGUAGCAAUACUUAGUGGCAGACGGGUGAGUAACAUGUGGGUAUCUACCCUUUGGCCUGGAAUAACACGAGGAAACUUGUGCUAAUACCGGAUAAGUCUUUACGGAGAAAGCUUUAUGCACCAAUGGAUGAGCCCGCACUUGAUUAGUUUGUUGGUAGGGUAAUGGCCUACCAAGACUAUGAUCAAUAGCUGAUUUGAGAGGAUGAUCAGCCACAUUGGGACUGAGACACGGCCCAAACUCCUACGGGAGGCAGCAGUGGGGAAUCUUGCACAAUGGAGGAAACUCUGAUGCAGCGAUGCCGCGUGAGUGAAGAAGGCCCUUGGGUUGUAAAGCUCUUUCGUCGGGGAAGAAAAUGACUGUACCCGAAUAAGAAGGUCCGGCUAACUUCGUGCCAGCAGCCGCGGUAAUACGAAGGGACCUAGCGUAGUUCGGAAUUACUGGGCUUAAAGAGUUCGUAGGUGGUUGAAAAAGUUGGUGGUGAAAUCCCAGAGCUUAACUCUGGAACUGCCAUCAAAACUUUUCAGCUAGAGUAUGAUAGAGGAAAGCAGAAUUUCUAGUGUAGAGGUGAAAUUCGUAGAUAUUAGAAAGAAUACCAAUUGCGAAGGCAGCUUUCUGGAUCAUUACUGACACUGAGGAACGAAAGCAUGGGUAGCGAAGAGGAUUAGAUACCCUCGUAGUCCAUGCCGUAAACGAUGUGUGUUAGACGUUGGAAAU